CCCUUAGAUGUUCUGGGCCGCACGCGCGCUACACUGACGAAGUCAGCGAGCAUGUCCUACGCCGAUAGGUGCGGGGAAUCUUGUGAAACUUCGUCGUGCUUGGGAUUGAUUAUUGAAAUUAUUGAUCAUCAACGAGGAAUUCCUAGUAAGCGCAAGUCAGCAGCUUGCGUUGAUUACGUCCCUGCCCUUUGUACACACCGCCCGUCGCUACUACCGAUUGAAUGGUUUAGUGAGAUCUUCGGAUUGGUGCCACCGAGUCCAGCAAUGGACACGGUGAAUAUCGAAAAGUCGAUCAAACUUGAUCAUUUAGAGGAAGUAAAAGUCGUAACA
Molecule: ribosomal RNA, 330 nt
Filed under: uncultured eukaryote
Lineage: Eukaryota
Description: partial 18S ribosomal RNA
Rfam family: Eukaryotic small subunit ribosomal RNA
Source: RNAcentral